AUGCUGUGGUGUGGGCAUGCUGUGAUGUAUUCUUGGAGAUGUUCCCAGGAUUUCGUGAUGGUUUCAUCCUGGAGAUGUUGAAAACUAGAAAUCUUGUUCUGAAGGGC
Molecule: small nucleolar RNA, 107 nt
Organism: Panicum hallii
Lineage: Eukaryota; Viridiplantae; Streptophyta; Magnoliopsida; Poales; Poaceae
Source: RefSeq, a predicted model, not a curated record